RNAcentral lists this ribosomal RNA (466 nucleotides) under uncultured bacterium. Its description in RNAcentral is "partial 16S ribosomal RNA". It matches the Rfam family "Bacterial small subunit ribosomal RNA", at positions 28 to 507 of the family's 1533-position model. The record is from RNAcentral.
GAUGAACGCUGGCGGCGUGCUUAACACAUGCAAGUCGAACGGAAAGGCUCCUGCUUGCAGGGGUACUCGAGUGGCGAACGGGUGAGUAACACGUGGGUGAUCUGCCCUGCACUUCGGGAUAAGCCUGGGAAACUGGGUCUAAUACCGGAUAGGACGAUGGUUUGGAUGCCAUUGUGGAAAGUUUUUUCGGUGUGGGAUGAGCUCGCGGCCCAUCAGCUUGUUGGUGGGGUAAUGGCCUACCAAGGCGUCGACGGGUAGCCGGCCUGAGAGGGUGUACGGCCACAUUGGGACUGAGAUACGGCCCAGACUCCUACGGGAGGCAGCAGUGGGGAAUAUUGCACAAUGGGCGCAAGCCUGAUGCAGCGACGCCGCGUGGGGGAUGACGGCCUUCGGGUUGUAAACUCCUUUCGCUAGGGACGAAGCGCAAGUGACGGUACCUGGAGAAGAAGCACCGGCUAACUACGUG